Molecule: long non-coding RNA, 837 nt
Organism: Acanthochromis polyacanthus (spiny chromis)
Lineage: Eukaryota; Metazoa; Chordata; Actinopteri; Pomacentridae
Exons: 3
Source: RefSeq, a predicted model, not a curated record
CUCAGAGUCUUCAGGAUGCAGUCUGGACUCUCCAGAAAAACACUCAGAUGUUUCACUCCUGAAUCCUUCAGGUUGUUGUUACUCAGGUCCAGAUGUUCCAGAUGGGAGGGGUUGGACUUCAGAGCUGAGACCAGAGAAUCACAGCUGAUCUCUGACAACCUGCAGCUCUUCAAUCUGAAUAAAGAAUCAAAGAUGUGUAUAAAAUCAUUGAUGAUCCAUCAGAUGUGUUCAGGUUCUGAAUGUGCAGAUCAACAUUACUUUGUCCUCAUCAAUCAGCUUUUCUCUAAAAGCAGCACAGUGACUUUGUCCUUCUCUUAUUGUGGAUCAUCAUCAUGUCAGCCUUCUACACACAUCAUCCACAUGUCAGCACAACAUUCAUCCACCUAUUCAUGUCCACACAUCAGUAACAUCUGCUGACCUCAGUCCACUCUCUCAUCAAAGGAUCAACAUCAAAUCUCUUCAUUCUUUCAUUUAUUCCAUCACCUUCUUCUUCUUCUUCUGUGGAAAUCAGCUUGCUAGCUUUGUCUCCUUCACAUCUUCCAGUGUGUCUUCAACAACAGUCACAUGUCAUCUGUACAUUACAGAGGGAUUCUGAUUCCUGCUGUCCACACUGACUGUCCACUGCUCUCUUCCUAACACAACUCCACUGGAAGGAAUCACUUCAUCAGCUCAGCUCACACUAACAUCAAGCUUCAGCUUCUGACUCACACUAAUCAACUUCCACACUGUUGACAACUAAACUCCUCUUUGACUUCCUGAGGCUCCACUGCAGCUCAGCACAAACACUGUGGAAACACAAACAUACUGACUGGAUGUGCGGAAGUCACACUGCUGAAG